GCAGCCCUGCGCUCAGGGUUAUUUACGUCUGCUCACAUAUGAAGAAGAUGGAAGUGAGUCAUUACUGCUACAGCUGUCUUGUGUAUUCGCCUUUGUUUGUUGUUGCCGUGAGUGUUCGCUCUGGUGUUAUCCGCGGUUUAUUACUAAAUACGUUAUUAGUUCAUAGUGUUAGUGAAGUUUGUGUGUGUGUAUAACAGUAAUCUUCAUGCAUUUUAUUACGCAUAAAUAUUACUGAAUUGUGUGAAAUAGUGUUCAUAAGGUUAUAUUUUGUUAGCACCAUGUACUAAAAUAACGAUUCUGACAUUUAGAGAUUGUUGUACGAGAUGGACCUUAGUUCGCCAUGCUAUAUAAUGAUAUACCGAAGGUGUUAUACAUUUUUAUAAAGCCAGUACCAGUACAAUGGGGGAGUUGUAAUUGACAUUGGAUGAUUCAGGGGAGAGGCUGAGGCGGAAGAAUAGGUAGCAGAGGAACAGUAGAUGGGGAACGAGGCGAAGAAAAGACUACCUACUAGGUAGUGUAGAAGAGAAAUAUGGCCUGAUGAUGGGUGGAUGGCGAUGAGGGCAUGGAGGAUGAGAGAAAUGGGGCUGAUUAUGUUGAUUAGGUUAAUAUUUGUUUUGAACAUUAGUAUUCUUAUAUUUGAAUUUUGUAUCAUUAAGAUAAUUUUAUGUUUUUUAAUGAAGAUGUUUUUUUAGUUUUAAUACCUACUUUGUUGUACUACUGCCUAGUUUUAUAAAUAAACUGUUUAUUGUG
Molecule: long non-coding RNA, 750 nt
Organism: Macrosteles quadrilineatus (aster leafhopper)
Lineage: Eukaryota; Metazoa; Arthropoda; Insecta; Hemiptera; Cicadellidae
Exons: 3
Source: RefSeq, a predicted model, not a curated record